CAGCAGCAAUUAUUACCCUGCCAGAUUUCCGCUGGCUUUCGCAGCGUCAGAAUCACAACAAAGCAACGCGACUUCAAAAGCAUCCCAGUCUGUUUCCUAUUCAGCCCUUCAAGUACAACUCAAUAAGGGAAGCUGACAGGCUGCUCUGGUCUUGAAAACCCUCUGAGGCUUCACAUUAGCACCCUCUUGAAAUCCCUGCCCUGGAUUCACAACUUCCCAAGUGCAAUGCCAAGAGACGAACUCACUGACCAAGCAAGCAGGCUCCCUGGAAUGCCAGCUCUGACAUGGCACUGGAAGACUCCUGGCUUGUUAGAGCAUUGCUGGGCACAUAUUAAACAGUGCAUCUGCUGACAGGACCUACCCAGCUCCCACUGACCUCACUGGGAAUCUCCUUGCCUGUGCUGGGGGCUGGGGUCAGACCCGAAAGGACUAUACAGAAUGCAGAUUUCUUGCAGCAAGGAAAACUGCUCCAGUGAAGCUUUGCUUCCACAGUAGAUAACAAGAAUUUCAUGCCAGGAAACAGCUUCAUUACAUCAACAACAGGAAGACCCCACUGCUUUGUCACAAAGAAAAACAGCUGUUAGUCGCACAUCAAGGGAAUGGAGAAGAGAAAAAAAAAAUCUCACCUUUUUUUUUUUAAAUGUUCACACAGUUCUUUAAUGUGAAUCACUCUGUUGAGGGAAGUAAGCUACCAGGGGAGUCAAAAACUAAUCGUGAUCCAGUGCGUAUCAGUUAAUAUCUAAGUGUCUCCCUGCUUUUCCUGCUACAUGAUUGCUUGAGAAAUAAAGAUUAAUUCCAACUUUAAAAAAAAAAAAAACUAUUUUUAUCAUUGCCAGAAGUCUAUAUGGGUUUAAAAAAGAAAAAGCACUUGCUUGUCGUUUUACAUCUUGCAAUUUUGUCAGUUGUUUUAAAACAUGUCUCCUGUAAUAAAUAAGAUCA
Long non-coding RNA from Alligator mississippiensis (American alligator), 939 nucleotides. RefSeq lists it as uncharacterized. The record is from RefSeq and is a predicted model, not a curated record. NCBI's taxonomy places the organism in Eukaryota, Metazoa, Chordata, Crocodylia, Alligatoridae. The transcript is spliced from 3 exons.